GACGAACGCUGGCGGCGUGCCUAAUACAUGCAAGUCGAACGCUUCUUUCCUCCCGAGUGCUUGCACUCAAUUGGAAAGAGGAGUGGCGGACGGGUGAGUAACACGUGGGUAACCUACCCAUCAGAGGGGGAUAACACUUGGAAACAGGUGCUAAUACCGCAUAACAGUUUAUGCCGCAUGGCAUAAGAGUGAAAGGCGCUUUCGGGUGUCGCUGAUGGAUGGACCCGCGGUGCAUUAGCUAGUUGGUGAGGUAACGGCUCACCAAGGCCACGAUGCAUAGCCGACCUGAGAAGGUGAUCGGCCACACUGGGACUGAGACACGGCCCAGACUCCUACGGGAGGCAGCAGUAGGGAAUCUUCGGCAAAGGACGAAAGUCUGACCGAGCAACGCCGCGUGAGUGAAGAAGGUUUUCGGAUCGUAAAACUCUGUUGUUAGAGAAGAACAAGGACGUUAGUAACUGAACGUCCCCUGGCGGUAUCUAACCAGAAAGCCACGGCUAACUACGUG
Molecule: ribosomal RNA, 508 nt
Filed under: uncultured bacterium
Lineage: Bacteria
Description: partial 16S ribosomal RNA
Rfam family: Bacterial small subunit ribosomal RNA
Source: RNAcentral